CCUUCUGUUGAGAAUGUUAAACGGAAAGCAAAGCACAUGUGAGAUGCCUGAGUAUUGAGGAGAAAAGGCAUGUGUUUCUGCUUUGCCGGGAGAGGCAUGUAGACACUCCAGACUUGGUUAUAUUCUCUGUGCAAUCUCGGCAAGAAGCACCAUGCACAACUACAACUUGAAACAAACAGUUUGAAAUAGGAAGCUCCCAGUCAUAUCAAAUUUUGUUCAGUCAACAUCAAGAUGCAGUACCUGAUGUCGAUGAGGAUGCGGAGUGGAGAAACGACUUGAGUAGGGCUAGUGAUCGCCGCCUUGCAGUUCAUCUAAUUCGAAAGUAUCUCUUGCCGUGGACAUGGCAAGUGAUAAUUCAUUUUGUUGUUGUCGUGAACAAAUUUGAAUGAUGAUGGCACAUGAAAACGGUUUCGACCAACGCUCGAUCUGAAUGAGAUGUGGACCGACCGGUAUCUGAACCCUUGUGAAGUGAUGGCUAUUGGUCGUAAUAAUUCCAAAAAAUCUAGUUUACAUAAAUUCUGAGAUUUUAUAUGUGUUUGUUUUUUCAGAAUUAUUCGUGGAAUUCUUAUCUAUGGUCCAUUGUUAUCUGUAGAAUUUUGUAUGAAGGAUAUGAAAUUUUGUAGAAAUAUAUUGUUAUAUGUGUAGCAAAGUCUGUUAUGAUAUGUGUUAAUUUGAGGGAUUUCCUUCCCUCCCCCUUC
Aegilops tauschii subsp. strangulata is the source of this 698-nucleotide long non-coding RNA. RefSeq lists it as uncharacterized. The record is from RefSeq and is a predicted model, not a curated record. NCBI's taxonomy places the organism in Eukaryota, Viridiplantae, Streptophyta, Magnoliopsida, Poales, Poaceae.